This 460-nucleotide ribosomal RNA is filed under the name uncultured bacterium. Its description in RNAcentral is "partial 16S ribosomal RNA". It matches the Rfam family "Bacterial small subunit ribosomal RNA", at positions 338 to 795 of the family's 1533-position model. The record is from RNAcentral.
CCUACGGGUGGCAGCAGUGAGGAAUAUUGGUCAAUGGCCGUAAGGCUGAACCAGCCAAGUAGCGUGAGGGAAGACUGCCCUAUGGGUUGUAAACCUCUUUUAUGCGGGGAUAAAGGUGUCCACGUGUGGAUGUUUGCAGGUACCGCAUGAAUCAGGACCGGCUAAUUCCGUGCCAGCAGCCGCGGUAAUACGGAAGGUCCGGGCGUUAGCCGGUUUUAUUGGGUUUAAAGGGAGCGUAGGCCGGUGUUUAAGCGUGCCGUGAAAUUUUGUGGCUCAACCAUGAGAGUGCGGCGCGAACUGGAGAACUUGAGUGCGCGAGAGGCAGGCGGAAUUCGGUGUGUAGCGGUGAAAUGCGUAGAUAUCACGAAGAACCCCGGUUGCGAAGGCAGCCUGCCGCAGCGUUACUGACGCUGAGGCUCGAAAGCGCGGGUAUCGAACAGGAUUAGAUACCCGUGUAGUC